This 344-nucleotide ribosomal RNA is filed under the name uncultured marine eukaryote. RNAcentral describes it as "SSU rRNA". It matches the Rfam family "Eukaryotic small subunit ribosomal RNA", at positions 612 to 958 of the family's 1831-position model. The record is from RNAcentral.
GUUGCAGUUAAAAAGCUCGUAGUUGAAUUUCUGGAUGUGAAAGGUGGUCGGCACCUCACGGUGUCUGUACCUACCAUACGCGUCCAUCCUCGGGAGGAACAUGUGGACACUUAAGUGGGUCUGCUUGGGAAUCUCGUCAUUUACUGUGAGCAAAAUAGAGUGUUCAAAGCAGGCUUAUGCCGUUGAAUAUAUUAGCAUGGAAUAAUAAGAUACGACUUUGGUCUAUUUUGUUGGUUUGCAUUCCAAAGUAAUGAUUAAUAGGGAUAGUUGGGGGUAUUCGUAUUCAAUUGUCAGAGGUGAAAUUCUUGGAUUUAUGGAUGACGAACUACUGCGAAAGCAUUUAC